RNAcentral lists this ribosomal RNA (468 nucleotides) under uncultured bacterium. RNAcentral describes it as "partial 16S ribosomal RNA". It matches the Rfam family "Bacterial small subunit ribosomal RNA", at positions 28 to 507 of the family's 1533-position model. The record is from RNAcentral.
GACGAACGCUGGCGGCGUGCUUAACACAUGCAAGUCGAACGGAAAGGCCCUGCUUUUGUGGGGUGCUCGAGUGGCGAACGGGUGAGUAACACGUGAGUAACCUGCCCUUGACUUUGGGAUAACUUCAGGAAACUGGGGCUAAUAUCGGAUAGGAGCUCCUGCUGCAUGGUGGGGGUUGGAAAGUUUCGGCGGUUGGGGAUGGACUCGCGGCUUAUCAGCUUGUUGGUGGGGUAGUGUCUUACCAAGGCUUUGAAGGGUAGCCGGCCUGAGAGGGUGACCGGCCACAUUGGGACUGAGAUACGGCCCAGACUCCUACGGGAGGCAGCAGUGGGGAAUAUUGCACAAUGGGCGGAAGCCUGAUGCAACAACGCCGCGUGCGGGAUGACGGCCUUCGGGUUGUAAACCGCUGUCGCCUGUGACGAAGCGAGAGUGACGGUAAUGGGUAAAGAAGCACCGGCUAACUACGUG